GUGCUUGCUUUAGCAGCAUAUAUACUAAAAAUGUAAAGAUACAGAGAAGAUUAGCAUGGCUGCUGUGCAAGGAUGAUAUGCAAAUUUGUGAAGAGACUGCCCUUUCC
Mustela putorius furo (domestic ferret) is the source of this 107-nucleotide small nuclear RNA. The record is from Ensembl. Lineage: Eukaryota; Metazoa; Chordata; Mammalia; Carnivora; Mustelidae.